This 104-nucleotide microRNA precursor is filed under the name Marmota monax (woodchuck). The record is from RNAcentral. Lineage: Eukaryota; Metazoa; Chordata; Mammalia; Rodentia; Sciuridae.
AGUGGGAUAGCUAGGUCAAAUGGUGGUUCCAUUCCAAGUUUUCUGAGAAAUCUCCCUACUGCUUUCCAGAGUGGUUGCACCAAAUUUGCAGUCCCAUCAGCAAU